CUCUGGGACGAGUCCCAAAUAGGACGAAACGCGCGUCCUGGAU
Non-coding RNA from Schistosoma margrebowiei, 43 nucleotides. The record is from Rfam. NCBI's taxonomy places the organism in Eukaryota, Metazoa, Platyhelminthes, Trematoda, Strigeidida, Schistosomatidae.